UUCAAUAGUAAUAGCAAAAGAAACUUUUUAAAUUACGAUUUGUUGAUCUACGUUGUGACGCCCCCAGAAUAGGUAUACAUCACCUAUUCUGAGUCGCCAAAAUACAUGAUACAGAAAAAUAACUACAACUUUAUUAAUACAAUUGUCGUGCAAAAUACGACAACACAUAUUGUGAGUUUAAAUAUAAUAUUGUCUUCUAGACAAUAUCCACACCCAAAUAAAGUCCUCAUUACAAUUAUUGAUGCACUAUUUUACAAAAUAGUGAGGAUUACUAAAAUAACUAUCUUGAAUCAUCACUCCAUACCCCGGCUAAUCCCUACUAAAUUCUCACCUCCUGAAAAAAAAAAUGGAACAAAAAAGAAAAGGGUGAGCUCAACUAGCCUAGUAACGAAUAUUAUGACUAAGAUAAUAUACAACAAAUUAUCCUUAGUCUUCAACAGAAAAAAAUCUGAUAGAAUACAAUAGACAACAAGUUUUAGAUCAACAACUGCAGCGGAAAUAACAAUUCAUUAGAAGAGUUAAGUAGAGAAUGAAAUCUACUAUCAUCUAUGAAUUUAAAAGUCCAUCAUCAAUAUUUUAUUCCUGUAACAUCAAUCAAUAUACAUCUUUGCACUAUGGCCAAAGAUAUUCAUUUGUAUCACCAGUUGGUCAUGUUCAUCACAACACCUAUUCAUCUUUGCACUACGGGCCGAAGAUAUUCAUCAGGUAAUCAUUCAUCUUUGCACUACCGGCCAAAGAUAUUCAAUAUUUUAGAGAACGAAUCCAGUGAGACAGAAGGACAAAUAUUAGGGAUUCGUAUUAUAGUUUAUCCAAGAUCAAUAAUACUUCAUAAUAACCAAUUGUGAAGCAGAAUGCAAAAAUAACGCUCAAAACAUGGAUACAAUAAAAAAUAGUAACCAUAAUAGAUAUCUUGGACAAAAAGAAAAAAAUUUCAUUUUUCGGUGAAUAGUGUCGUAUUCGCGAAUAGUGUCGUAUACGUGAAUAGUAUCGUAUACGUGAAUAGUAAUCCCGACACAAAAAGUUUUAAAUUUGAUUAAAAAGUUCAAACCAAUAUUUCGGCAUAAUGAUAUUAAAGAAAAUAAUAUCAUUUAAGAAGAAAAUAAUAUCCCUUACCUCAAAGAAUCAGUACUUCAGAUUGAAAGGUCGGAAGUGAUGCUGAAUGAAAUUUGUACUGAACAACAACUCUCUAAGUAUCUAAAUACUCACAAAAUACGCUCGAUAAUAUAGAGAGAGAAAGAGAGAAAGCUUAUGUUUCUGGUGUGAUUUUCAAUUCUAACUUAGCCCUCUAUUUAUAGAAAAAUGUUAGCCCGCCGAAGCAGACUUGACCUGCUACCUGACGGCUUUACCUGCUACUAUUGUCACCCACCACAUUUGAAAUAAAAUUCAGCACAUUUCUUCACCAACCACAAGUGGGGCCCACUCAAUUCUAGAAUUUUCUAUCAAAAUCAUUUAUAACACUAAUUUCUGAAGCAGUCACCUCUUAAAAUUCAUAACAAAUCAUUCGUUCAUUUUUAACGGUUCAAAAUUUGUGGACAUAUACAAAAAUUAUAUAUGUAUAACAUAUCCAAAAAUCACAAUGAUCCAACGGUCAGAUUAAAAAUUAUAACUCACGCAAUAUAUCGUAAAAAUACUGAUUUGAUUUUUAAUACCUCUAUUCCGACAAAAAUACAGAAAAAAGACCUCAACAUUAACUCUUUCAAUUAUAAUCACAUAAAAUAAAUAAAUCCAUUAUUUAUAUAAAAUAAAUAUUUCCUUAUCAUAUAUAUCUAUAAUUAAUUAUUCACAAAUUAUAUUACAGAAUCACAAUUAUGACAACCAGGCCGUUCCCAGGAAAGAGGGGGCUUUCCAAUAAGAAUUUCUCCUUACUGACGCGCAAUUAGAUGCCUAACCUCUCCUUGACAGAACUUUCUAGACAUUGUCAAUAAUGCUAUCUAAUAAUAUUAUUCAAAUAAUAUGAAUUAUUGGUCUAAUAAUGGGAAAUACAGUGCAAUGACAAUUAUUGAAACAACAAUAAUAUAAAAUAUCAACGCAGCAAUUAUUAAAUUAAUAAAAUAAAAUAUUAAACAGUAACUACUGUAACAAUUAUUGAGUAGUGCCUUCUUACGUAAGGAUCAAUAAUUCAAAAAUACUGUGCAAUAUCGUAUGUUACUGUGCAACCACGCAUAUUACUGUAUUUUAACCACCGGGUAUUCUAACAGUGUUAACGGUAACGAUUACGCCGUUAUUUGUAACAACUCAAAUUUGUCAUUUUCUUCAUCCGACAGUUAUUCUGUUAUGGGGCCCACAAAUGACUGCACCGUCGUACGAAUAUUCCCCGGCAGCAAGAAUAUUCCACAACCAAACGAAUAUUCCCAGACAAAAAUGAAUAUUUUAUAACCACUUGUUUAUUUUGUAAAAUUUGCACAUUUCACCCAUAACCAAAGUAUUAUAUCAAAUUAACUCCUUAUUAUUUCAAGAUAAUAAAUAGAGAAAAUUUAAUUUUAUUCAUAAUAAGUUGGGGUCUUACAACCUCCCCUCCUUAUGAAAUUUCGUCCUCGAAAUUGACGUACGUACCUGGUGUUUCGAAAAGGUGAGGGUACCUCACUUUCAUUUUCGAUUCCAACUCCCAAGUCAUUUCCUCAAUAGCAUGGUUCCUCCACAAAACCUUGACUUGUGGUAUAACCUUUGUUCGUAGGAUAUGCUCUUUCCUAUCCAAUAUCUUGACAGGUACCUCCUCGUACGUUAAAUCUUCGGCUAUCUCGUCUGGUUCUAACGCAAUAAUGUGGUUUGGGUCUUUCACAUAUUUAUGAAGCAUAGAUAUAUGAAAAACAUUAUGAACAUGAGACAUACUUGGAGGUAAUGCGAGUCUAUAGGCCACAUUUCCUAUUCGGUCAAGAAUCUCAAAUGGACCAACAAAUCAUGGAUUAAACUUUCCUCUCUUCCCAAAUCUUGUAACUCCCUUCCAUGGAGCAAUACGUAACAGUACAUGAUCUCCAAUAUUAAACUCCACGUCCUUUCGAUGAAGAUCAGUAUAACUCUAUUGUCGAUCUUGUGAGGUCUUUAUACGUUGCCGGAUCAUUUGAAUCUUUUCUGUAGUCAUGCGUACUAAUUCUGGUCCCAACAAUGUUGUUUCUCCCACCUCGUCCCAGCAUACUGGAGAACGAUACUUUCGUCCAUAUAGCGUCUCGAAUGGAGCCAUGCCUAUACUUGCUUGAUAACUGUUGUUGUAAGAGAAUUCCACCAAUGACAAGUACUUAUCCCAACUUCCUUUGAAAUCUAGGACACAGAGUCUUAAUAAAUCUUCAAGGGUUUGAAUAGUCCUUUCUGAUUGUCCGUCCGUUUGAGGAUGGUAUGCUAAACUGAAUCGUAUAUCCAUCCCCAUAGCUUUCUUCAAGCUAACCCAAAAUCGUGAAGUGAAUCUUGGGUCACGAUCUGAAACUAUGGAUACUGGCAUGCCAUGCAAUCUCACAAUCUCAUUUACGUACAUACUAGCAAGACGUUCAAGGGAAUAAGUCUCACGUAUAGGCAAGAAAUGAGCAGACUUGGUUAAUCUGUCAACAAUAACCCAAAUUGCAUCUAUGCCUUGAGAGACUUUGGGAAAACCCGUAACGAAAUCCAUGGUAAUGUGUUCCCACUUCCAUUUUGGAAUCUCAAGUGGUUGCAAUGGACCCUUUGGCACUUGAUGCUCCGCCUUUACACGUUGACAAGUUAAACACCUCGAGAUAAACUCUGCAAUCUCUCUCUUUAUAUUGCUCCACCAAAAUGUAUGUCGAAGAUCAUGAUACAUUUUGGUACUCCCAAGAUGGAUUGCAAACGGUGUGUUGUGUGCCUCCAUCAUGAUUUUAUACUUCAAGUCAGAAUCGUUAGGAACGCAAAGUCUGGAGUUAAUUCUAAGUAUUCCUUCUUCAUCAAUUCUUGCCUCCGGAAUGACACCUUCUUGCACUUUCGUCUUCAUACGUAUCAUCUCUAAGUCUGUGGCUUGAGCAGCUUUAACUUCAUCGAUUAAAGUCGGUUCUACUCGUAUAUUUUCCAUCAUCAUGUGGGUCCCUGGAGUCUUUAACUCUAUCUCCAUCCUUUGCAAGUCCUACAAAAUGGGUCUUUGUGUUAACAACAUCGUACUCGUACCCGCAUACGAUCUUCUACUCAAUGCGUCAGCUACAACGUUUGCUUUUCCAGGAUGAUAUUGAAUGCUAUGGUCGUAAUCCUUCAACAGCUCGAGCCAACGUCGUUGCCGUAUUUUGAGUUCCUUUUGAGUGAAGAAAUAUUUAAGGCUUUUAUGAUCCGUAUAAAUCUCCACUUUCUCUCCAUAAAGGUAGUGUCUCCAUAUUUUCAACGCAAAAACGACUGCUGCCAACUCCAGAUCAUGAGUAGGAUAAUUCUUAUCAUAUUCUUUGAGUUGUCGUGAGGCAUAGGCUAUGACUUUCCCAUGUUGCAUGAGAACACAUCUUAACCCUUUGCCUGAAGCAUCACUGUAGAUAAUAAAUCCAUCCGAACCAGAUGGUAUUGUCAGAACAGGUGCCGAAAUGAGUCUCCUUUUAAGCUCUUGGAAACUCUUCUCGCAUUCCUCGCUCUAUACGAAUUUUGUGUCUUUCCAAGUCAGCUGAGUUAACGGAGUAGCGAUUCGAGAAAAUCCUUCCAUGAAUCUCCGAUAAUAACCAGCUAAGCCCAGAAAUCUACACACUUCGUUCACCGACUUUGAAUGCUCCCAACUUUGGAUUGCUUCAAUCUUUGCCGGGUCAACAGAUACUCCAUGUUUUGACACCACGUGCCCAAGGAAUGCUACUUUAUUAAGCCAGAACUCGCAUUUCUUCAACUUGGCAUAUAGCUUGUUGUCACGAAGUCUUUGAAGUACCAGCUUCAAAUGGUGUUCAUGAUCUUCACGGCUUUUGGAAUAGAUGAGGAUGUCAUCAAUAAAGACAACAACGAACUGAUCCAAAUAUUCCUUGAAUACUCGGUUCAUCAUAUCCAUGAAAGCAGCAGGAGCAUUAGUCAAUCCAAAAGACAUGACUAAGAAUUCAUAAUGCCCGUACCGAGUUCUAAAGGCAGUCUUUGGAAUAUCCUCAGUUCUAAUCUUCAGCUGAUGAUAUCCAGAACGAAGAUCGAUUUUUGAAAAGAAUUGUGCUCCUUGCAACUGGUCAAACAAGUCAUCAAUACGAGGUAGAGGAUACCUAUUCUUGAUGGUGACAUGGUUCAAUUCCCGAUAGUCAAUACAAAGUCGCAUACUCCCGUCUUUCUUCUUUACGAAUAAAACAGGAGCACCCCAAGGAGAUGUACUAGGACGAAUGAAACCGAUGUCCAACAACUCCUGUAGUUGGACCUUUAACUCCUGAAGUUCAAUAGGAGCCAUUCGAUAUGGGGUUUUAGAAAUGGGCUUUGUACCAGGUUCAAGAUCAAUAAAGAAUUCAACUUCACGUUCUGGGGGUAGACCGGGAAGUUCUUCAGGAAAUACGUCAGGAAAUUUACUAACAACAGGAAUAUUAUUCAAAUCUGACGUGUCUUUAUUCAAAUCCAUAACAUGGGCUAAGAAAGCUUGACAUCCGUUUUUCAAUAAACGAAUAGCUUUAUGGCUUGAUAUGAUAGUGACUGAUUUUAGUGGUUUAGUUGCUUGUAUUCGUAUAACAGGUUGGUUAGGAAUAUUAAAACUAACAACCUUACGAAAAUAAUCAAUUUUGGCAUGAUGAGUGGUUAGCCAAUCAAUCCCUAAAAUCACAUCAAAUGCAAGUAUCUUUAAAGAAAUAAGAUCAACAGGUAAUGUGAUUGUGCCAACUUGGAUCAAGCAAGAUUUAUAAACUGUAGAUGUAAUGAAGGUUUCACCCAACGGAGUUUCAACAGAUAAGUUAAAGUCCAAUUUCUCUGGAGUUAAGUUUAAACGUUGAGCACAAGCAAGAGAGAUAAAAGAAUGGGUAGAAUCGGUAUCUAGUAAGGUAUAAACUUCGCAAGAGUUCAAGAUUAGCUUACCCGUGAUCACCUCGUUUGGGUUUCUCGCAUUUUGGCCAGUCACGACAAACGCCCUUCCUUGAACCACCGACUUCAUUUUGUCCGUAGUCGCCUUUGGUGCCGUUGUCACAGCUGGACUUGUCUUCGCUACCGGACAAAAUCGGGCUCUAUGACCAUCUUUUCCACAACUGAAACAUACCUUGGAAGGCUGUGAACAGUUUGGACUUAUGUGUUCCUUCUCUCCGCAUCUAUAGCAUCUAACUGGUGGUCGUUCUCCUGCCCUAGAAUUUGUUGAUGGUGUUGGUGCUGUUGCUGAUGUCGUCCCGUCAUUAUUGAAUCUCCUCUUUUUGAAAUUUUCGCUCAACUCACCUCUCCUGUUAUCAUGGCCACGAUUACCACCAGAGUGGUUACCGCUUUUGUCUGUAUUUUUCCCUCCUCUCUGGUUAUCAUCGCACCGAUGACUGCUGUCACCGGUAUGACCCUGAUUGUGGUCCCUUGGUUGAACAUACUCAUUAUCACGCUUUAAUAAAUGAGCCUUGUUUUCAACAUCUGAAUAUAAAGAAAAUUUAUGAGAGAUAAGAUAUUGUCGAAUCUCGGCUUUUAGACCUCUCAGAAACAUCCACGUCAUACGUUCCUCAUUUUCUACCAAAUGAGGUGCAAACAUGGAUAACUCCGCGAACUUUACCUCGUACUGAGACACCGUCAUGUUGUUCUGUUCUAGUCUAAUAAACUCUACACCGUCACCGUCAUGUAUAACAUAUCCAAAAAUCACAAUGAUCCAACGAUCAAAUUAAAAAUUAUAACUCACGCAAUAUAUCGUAAAAAUACUGAUUUGAUUUUUAAUACCUCCAUUCCGACAAAAAUACCUUAACAUUAACUCCUUCAAUUAUAAUCACAUAAAAUAAAUAAAUCCAUCAUUUAUAUAAAAUAAAUAUUUCCUUAUCAUAUAAAUCAAUAAUUAAUUAUUCACAAAUUAUAUUACAGAAUCACAAUUAUGACAACCAGGCCGUUCCCAAGAAAGAGGGGGCUUUCCAAUAAGAAUUUCUCCUUACUGGCGCAAUUAGAUGACCUAACCUCUCCUUGACAGAACUUUCUAGACAUUGUCAAUAAUGCUAUCUAAUAAUAUUAUUCAAAUAAUAUGAAUUAUUGAUCUAAUAAUGGGAAAUACAAUGCAGUGACAAUUAUUGAAACAACAAUAAUAUCAACACAGCAAUUAUUAAAUCAAUAAAAUAAAAUAUUAAACAGUAACAACUGUAACAAUUAUUGAGUAGUGCCUUCUUACGUAAGGAUUAAUAAUUCAAAAAUACUGUGCAAUACCGCGUGUUACUAUGCAACUACGCAUAUUACUAUAUUUUAACCACCGGGUAUUCUAACAGUGUUAACGGUAACGAUUACGCCGUUAUUUGUAACAACUCAAAUUUAUCAUUUUUUUCAUCCGACAGUUAUUAUGUUAUGGGGCCCACAAAUGACUGCGCCGUCAUACGAAUAUUCCCCGGCAGCAAGAAUAUUCCACAACCAAACGAAUAUUCCCCGAUAAAAAUGAAUAUUUUAUAACCACUUGUUUAUUUUGUAAAAUUUGCACAUUUCACCCAUAACCAAAGUAUUAUAUCAAAUUAACUCCUUAUUAUUUCAAGAUAAUAAAUAGAGAAAAUUUAAUUUUAUUUAUAAUAAGUUGGGGUCUUACAUACGUGGCAAUUUGAGGAGCAUUAUUUGCUACUUUCAUAUUUUGUGCCUCAUAAGUCUCUUCAAUUCAAUGAGCUGCACACCAAACCCAUCAAGCAAAAUAAAUAUUUUUAGCCUUUCAUAAAUGUUUUGAAGAGAGAAAAUGAGGUUGCAGAUUUGAAGAGAGAGAACGAGGUUGCAAAUUUGAUGACUAAGGUUGAAGAGGUUGCUAGAGAUAAUUUUUCUGAUGUGGUUCACCUAUUUUGAAUAUCCCAAAGUGGUUGAAGAGACUGUUAUAGAUGCUCUAAUAGAUUUUGUUGGGUCAUACUCCCUUCGUCCAGGAUAAAAGUAUUUAUUACUGUUUCAGGUAAUCCCAAGUUAAAUGUCUACUUAACUUAAAUGAUCUAUUUUUUACAAUAAUUUACAUGUAAUACCCUUAUUAUUAAUUGUUAUAUAUUUAUUCUCUAUGCAUAUUUAUGGAGAUCACUAGUAAUAUGCAAAAAACUAUGCAAUUAAAUGAGAAUUUAAAUAUGGACAAUUUUAUUAUUUUAUCCUCUUUCUUAAUAUGCACAAAAAGUCAACCAAAACUUUUAUCCUGAAACGGAGGGAGUUAUAUAUCUUAGAUACAUUUUCUAACAUUAAUAGAUCAUGAUCUAACCUGCAACUCCAAACAUUUAUUGCUUAUUUACAUCUUCAGCACUCCCAAACUAAUACUUACUAACUAGCAUUCUAACAAGUAAGGCUGAAAACGGGUCGAGUGGGUCGGGGUCGGGCUCGGAUCGGAGUCGACUCGGAAAAAAUUCGAACGGGACCCGAAUUCGUAUAUUAACCGAGUCGAUUUUGGGCAACUUUCAUUAUUCGACUCCUCAGACGAUCCGAAUCUGAGAGAAGCCAUACUCUGCUAGUUUUCUCCAUGAGUAGUUCGAUCAAUUUCGAAUCAUUCAUCGUGAAUUCGAUCGAAUAUGUUCGACUAUGGUUCGCGAGUAUGCUUAUAUAUGUAUAUACAUAGUUUUAUAUUUUUGAUUCACUGUCUAACGAUUUCUCUUCCCCAUACCAGUUGGGACUUGGGUCAGAGUAACGAUUUCUCUUCCCAUGUUCGACUGUUCCCCAAUUGAGACUUGGGCCAGUAAUCCUUACUUCCUUCCUCCUACAUGCUACGGUCUUCUUAUUCCUUGAUAUAUGUUUGAGAAGUGUAAGAGACAAUUAACUUUUAAUUUUUGUCUAGGAAAUACUAAUUUUUCAUCAUUUAUGUUAUGUUGUAGUUGAAAAUCUCAAGAUCUGCAGAUGCAUGGCUAUAAUUCGAGAGAAUUCAAAGAGAUAUAGCUUUUAGGGCUUAACUUGGUAAGUUAUCAGUCGAUUCAGUCCCCAGAUUUAUUUAUAUAACCCCAAUUUUAUUUUUCCCAAAUCAUUCAAAAAUCAAAACCCUAGUUUUAUUUUCUUCUAAACUCUCAACCUAAACUUUUUCAAAAUGUUAAACUCUAAGUCUGUUACUGGUACUCAACUAACCAGUGCUAACGAUAAUGGUAAUAGUUAUCAAUUUUGAUUAAUUUUCAAUUUGGGUCAUAGUUUAAUUUUUAUUUACAUUCAAAGUUAUUAUCUUUUCAUUAUUUGACUCAUUGUCUGUCUUUAUUUUUCCAGAUGGAUUGGUUAAUCAGUCAAUACCAGUAGUUAAUCUUUCACAAGCCUCUGAUAAUGGCAAUACUUCUGCCACCAAUAAUGCUAUCAUUGAAAUUGACGAUCCUAAGGGAGAAGAGAAAGGUACUGAAGAAAAUGGAGAAGGAAAAAAGAAGAGAAAAACUUCAAAGGUUUGGUCUGAAUUUAACAUUAUUAAAUUACAAAAUGGUACCAAAAAUGUGACGCCCCCAAAAUAGGUCCACACGACCCAUUCUGUGUCGUCAGAUAUCACACAAUAAAAAUCAAAUGCAAACUUCAUUUAUACAACUAUUGAACUGUCGUGCAGAGUACGACAACAGUUAACUGUGAGUUUUAAUACAAUAUUAUCUCGUAGACCGUAUCCAAACUUAAAUUAUUACAAUGUCAUAUAAAAUACAGCAGCAAAUAUUUCAAGACCCCAAAGAAGAAUGAGAAGAUUACUAUCUUGUUUAUUCUAAUGAGGUGAACUUUUGACGCUUUCAAAGUCUGGUUCUCAUCACCCUAUUGUUGUUCGCCAAAAUCAAUUAUUAAGUGACGUAUAAAAUACGACACACACAUCUUAGGUCCUCAAUACAAUUAUCUGUUGCAAGUCAUGCCGUUUUAUAAUGUAUUGAGAAACUUCGACAGUCUCGGACCAUCACACUAUUUCCCUGUUAUCCCCGCUUGACCCAGCUACACUCUUAUUACCUGAAAGGAAUUGUGAAGCAAAAAGGGUGAGCACAACUAACCCAGUAAAGAAUAUCUUGGCUAAGAUAAUUAAAUUAUCAAUAGCCUUCGUCAAUUAUAAAUCAGAGAUUUAGAACAUAUGGUAGAUGAUAAAACUUUUCAACCAUAGUUGCAGCGGAACGAGCAAUCCAUUAGAAGAGUCAAAUAGACCAUAAUGUCUAUUAUCUUUUCUAUGUUAAAAGUCCACCAACAAUAUUUUAUCCCUGUAACAUCAAUCAACAAUUCAUGUCCACAAUCAUAUGAAUAACUCAUAAUCAUAAUUGUGAUUCUAAAUUCCUCUUCGCACCCAGGACGAAGAUAAUUUUUAUCACCUAUCUUCACCUGAAACAUCAAAAAUCAUGGUUAUACCAAAUCACAAUUUCUGCUCAUAAUCAUACUAAUAAAUUCAUCUUUGCACUACGGCCAAAGAUAUUCAUUAACACUUCAUCUUUGCACUACAGGCCAAGACAUACAACUGUAUUUUUAGAAGAGUCAAGUAGAGCAUGAUAUCUACUAUCUUUUACGAAUUAAAAAUUUAUUAUCAAUAUUUUAUCGCUGAGACUCAGCUUAAUAAAUAAUCCAAAAUCAUCGAAUCACCCCUGCACUACGGCCAAGGAUAUUCGUUAAUAUCACAUCCAUGAAUUAUCCAUGCACUACGGGUUAAGGAUAUUCAUUAUUAUCACAUCCAUAAAUUAUUAUUUCAUUGCUGAGACUCAGCUCAAUGAUUAAUCCACAUCAUCGAAUCAUCCCUACGCUACGACCAAGGAUAUUCGUUAAUAUCACAUUCAUUAAUUAUCCAUGCACUACGGGUCAAGGAUAUUCAUUAUUAUCACAUUCAUGAAUUAAUAUUUCAUUGCUGAGACUUAGCUCAAUAAUUAAUCCACAUCAUCGAAUCAUCCCUGCACUACAGGCCAAGGAUAUUCUUUAGUAUCACUACCACGAAUUAUCCAUGCACUACGGGCCAAAGAUAAUCAUGUUUUCAUCAACGGUCUUGAUUAUGCCAUAAAAUAAUUCAUCUUUUCACCCUUGGCCGAAGAGAAUCCAUAGCCAUAAUCAUACCAAAAACUGUCCAUCAAUACACUACGGGCCAAUGAGGACUUUUUUCAUAUCAUUUGUAACAUUACGGUCAUGAUUAUACCGAAUAAUCCCUGGUCAUAAUCAUACCAAGUCCAUCUAUGCACUACAGGCCACAGAUGACUUUCAACAUAAUAUAAACAAUUCCAACAGAAUAAUAAAUAAUGGAACCAGGUCAGGCGUAAUACGCACCGACAGGAUAUUCCAACAGAAUAAUAAAGAAUGGAAUAACAACAGAAAUCACCAUGCAUGCGAUAGACCGCACAGACAAGUUAUCCAACAGAAUAAUAAAUAAUGGAACCAGGUCCGGCGUAAACGCACAGACAGGAUAUUCCGACAGAAUAAUAAAGAACGGAAUAAUAAAUAAUGGAACCAGGUCCGGGGUAAACGCACAGACAGGAUAUUCUGACAGAAUAAUAAAUAGCGGAAUAAUAAAUAAUGGAACCAGGUCCGGCGUAAACGCACAGACAGGAUAUUCCGACAAAAUAAUAAAUAACGGAAUAAUAAAUAAUUUCACCAUGUAUGCGGUACUUCGCAUAAACAGGUUAUUCCAACAUAAUAAUAAAGAAUGGAAUAAUAGAAUAAUUUCACCAUGUAUGCGGUACUUCGCAUAACAGGUUAUUCCAACAUAAUAAUAAAGAAUGGAAUAAUCAAAGAAUUUCACCAUGUAUGCGGUACUUCGCAUAGACAGGUUAUUCUAACAUAAUAAUAAAGAAUGGAAUAACAGAAGUUCUCUUCAUGAAUACGAAACAAAUAAUACCCCUUACAGUACAACAAAUAAUCAAGAUUAUAGAAGAAGAACUCUCUCUAUAGUUUCUCUCUAGAGUUUCAGUGAAUUCGUAAGAAAUAAUGAAGGAAUGAGCUUCUAUUUAUAGAAGAAUGGACUGCAUAGUAACUAAUUCAUGGAUGGUCCAGAUUGAUUUACUUUUAAUCGGACGGUCCAUAUUUAAAGCAAAAUCUUUUAAAUAAAAUAUAAUAUAUUCUAUUUAUAAUAUAAUAAAACGAAUAACUUUAUAAAAGUAUUCUGUUUUAUAUAAAAAGAUUUUACUAUGCAAAACACUAUGCAGGCACUAUGCAACACUAUGCAUAAUAAAAUAUGAUAUAUUCUAUUUAUAGAAUAACUUUAUAAAAGUAUUCUGUUUUAUAUAAAAAGCUUUUUCUAUUUUAUUACAUUAAUAAUACUAAUAAAACAAAACUGAGUAACUUAUCACGUUAGCAUUAAUAAUCAAUACCGUGUGUUACUAUGCAACCACGCGUAUUACUGUACUUUUACUACCGAGCAGUUCAAUAGUAUUAACGGUAAAACUUCCGCCGUUAUUUUCAUAAAAAUAUUUUUGUCAUUUUCUCAUUCCAAUAAUAAUUCCGUUGUGGGGUCCACCAAUGAUUGUGCUGUUGUACGAAUAUUCCCCGACAUAAAGAAUAUUCUCCGACCAAUCGAAUAUAAUAUAACAACUUGCAUACUUUGAAAAAUUUAUAAAUAUUACCCACAACUAUAACAUUAUAUCAAAUUCACUCCAUAAUAUUCAAAAAAAAUAUUUCGAGAAAAUUAAAUAUUUAUCCGUAAAAUUUGGGAUUUUACAAAAAAAAUCCAGUGCAAUUACUGUUUCGCUAAACUUACACAUCAAAGCACUGGUUCAACUAGUCAUUUAAAUAGACACAUGUUAACUUGCACGGUUCGUUUAUCUAAAAUUGCUGGAAAAAAACAGAGUGUGUUGGCUUACCUUACUAUUGAAGUUGAUGGUCAAAUGAGUAAUUUGACAAAUUUUAGGUUUGACAAAGAGAGGACCAGAGAUAUUAUGGCAAAAAUGAUUAUGGUGCAUGAAUAUCCCUUUAUAAUGGUUGAGCAUGAAUUUUUCAUUCUUCUCUUGAAAUCAUUGAACCCUAAAUUUGAUCCCAUUUCUCGUGUUACUCUAAAGAAUGACUUCAUGAAAAUUUAUGCUUUAGAAAAGAAAAAAGUGAAAGCUUUGUUGUUUGGCAUCGAUAGAGUGAAUUUAACUUCUGACUUGUGGACAUCUAAUCAAACAAUUGGGUACAUGUGUCUCUAUGCACAUUUCUUAGAUUCUGAUUGGAGGCUUCAAAAAAGAAUUCUAAAUUUCUUUCAUCUGCCACCUCCUCACACUGGCCUCAUGAUUAGUGAUGCCAUUUUUUCUUGUCUUAGUGAAUGGGGCAUUGAAAAUAAGAUAACCACAAUCACUUUAGACAAUGCAUUUUUUAAUGAUUCUGCAGUUAGGAAUCUUAAAGAUAGUUUUGUGUUAAAAGGUAAUUUGUUUUUUGGUGAAAAAUUAUUUCAUGUGAGAUGUUGUGCACAUAUUCUCAAUAUUAUGGUACAAGAUGGUUUAGCUGUGAUUCAAAAUUUUAUUGUGAAGGUUCGUGAUAGUGCAUGUGAAAUACUUUAAGGGAUCCCCUUCUAAACUUCAUAAGUUUUCUGAGAUUACAAAGCAAUUGCAGUUAUGCACAACUAAAAAACUUGUUUUAGAUGUUCCAACUCGUAGGAACUCCACUUAUUCCAUGCUUGAGUCUGCUAUGCAGUUUAGGGAGGUGUUCCCUAGGUAUCAAGAAAUUAAAGGGAUCCACAUUAUCAGUCUUGUCCAUCUUUUGAGGAUUGGGAGAAAGCUAGAAAGGUAAUGGAGUUACUAGAGGUGUUCAAUGAAGCCACACAUGUUUUCUCAGGCUUUGAAUAUCCUACAGCAAAUCUAUUUCUUCCUGAAAUAUGGAAAAUUAAAGAGUUGUUGCUUAAGACAUCAAAUGAUGAUUUUCACUUGUUGAGAGACAUGGCUUUCAAAAUGAAAGAAAAAUUUGAUAAGUAUUGGGGAGAGUGUAACAUUCUGAUGGCAAUUGCAUCUAUCCUUGACCCAAGGUAUAAGAUGGAAUUGGUCAUCUUUUGUUUUCCAAAAAUUUUUACAACUGAGUUUGAAGCUGAUAAAAACAUUGGGCUUGUGAAAAGAGCACUUUAUGAGCUCUAUGAGUAGUAUGUUUGUGUUCACUGUUUAAUACCUACUAGUGUGCCUAGUAUGGAAGGAAGUUCUGCCAAUGUUAGUGGUAGUUGCUUUGAGAAAAGUAAAACAAAGUGCAGAGCUGAAUUUAAUUCUUGGGCUCAAGGUAUAGACAUUGUUACUCCUAUUAAAUCUGAUCUGGAUGCAUAUCUUGAAGAGGGUAAGUAUAUAUGUAAUGAUGAUGAGUCCUUUGAUGCUUUACUUUGGUGGAAAGCAAACACCUUAAAGUUUAUAAUUCUUUCAAAAAUGGCAAGGGAUAUACUAUCAAUUCAUGUUAGCACUAUGGCAUCUGAGAGUACUUUUAGUGUUGGUGGAAGGGUACUAGAUCAAUAUAGGAGCUCUCUCAAGCCUAAAACUAUUCAAGCUCUUAUAUGUACUUCUGAUUGGCUAAGGUGUGAUUAUAGGCUAAAUAAAAUGAGUGCUGCUAUGGUAUGAUUUAUUUCUUAUCAAAUUUUAGUUUACUUUUUUAUUGUUAUUGUUUAUGUAUGUAACAAAUUAGUUUAACACUUUACACUUAACAGGUUGAUGAAGAUGGUGUUAAUGACAUUAAUUUGGAGUGAAUUGCAGUUGUGUUGCUACUGGAUUACUGUUUUCUGCAGUGCUGCUAUUUUUCUAUUUUUUUCCUUAAUGAAAUUGAGUGAAAGUAAGGAUUUAAACUUAUUUUAUGGGUUGUAAUCUUUUGUUAAACUUGAAUUGUUUUUGGUACUGUUAUUUGGGUUUUGUUGAACUACAAACUUGGUUGUGUUGGACUGCAGAACUGGUUGUGUUGAACUAUAAAAUUGGUACUAUUAUUUGGGUUUUGUUUGAAUUGGUUGUGUUUGAAUUUUGUUAUUAGAUUAUAAAUUGCUUAACUUAUUAUUUCUUUUAAUAAUUAUUUGAUGAUUACUUAAUAUUGAAGACAUGAGAUAAGGAACUGAGAAUCCAAAUGUUAAUUCUCCUAUAUUUUUAAUGUUCUGAUAUUGAUUAUUGUUUCUUGUUUUAUUUCAAGAAUUGAAGUAUAAAGUAAAUUUGAAUUUGAUGCCUUGAAGGUUGAAGGCCUGAAGAGUAGUUUUUGGUACUAUGUACUUCAUAUUUUGAUUGAUCUUUUUCUUCAUAUCAUUUUCUUUAUCUGAAUAUGUACGAAUGCUUGUGUCAUUUCUGUUGCAAAGGCUCGUGAUACAUUUGAAUAUUUUCUUCAUCAGGUGUGAACUUUCAGCGAUUGAGCAGUUUUAUAGUGCACUCCUGUUGAAGAGUUGCAACUUCCACUUGGACCACCUUGUUUGACAUUUUAAAUUAUUUACUUUUUCUCAAAUAUUUUUGGUGUUCAUUGAUUCUCACUUAUCUUUAAAUUUCCAUGAAGAAGUACAGUUGGGCGGUAGGCUCUUACAUAUCCUAAAGAUAUUGCUCCAUAUCUCUGUUUAUCUUCUUCAGGUGUGAGAUCUGUCAUAUGUUCAGUUUCUAGUCAAUUUCACUGGUGCUAAUGAAAAGUUCAGAUAUAUUUUGCAAUCUCCAUUUUCGUUCCUCUUAUAAUACUGAUUACUUCUUCAAAUUACAAUAAUUGGUUCCAACAGAAAGAUGGUGAGUUUUUCAGGGGCCAUAAAGUGUUUUUACGGCGUGUUGCUUCUGCCUUCAACAACUUUGAGGAAUCCACUGAAAGAUCAUGCCAUGAAAAGUUAGCUACCAUUCCUUCUCAUUGUUCAAUUAAUUUUUGGCUUUCUCAAAGAAAUUGAAUUUUUAGUAUGUAUACCUUGAUAUGAUUUCAACACCUUUGAUGAAGAUAAUAUUUGCUGAUAUAAUGAAACUAUAUUACUUCAAAUAGAUUCUUCAUACACAAUUUGAUUCUCAUGUAAAAUAGAACUGUGUCAAAGAGUGGUUUGUUGGUUAAUUUUAAGUUUGAAAUAGUAUGAGAAGCAUACUAGUAUGCUACAAAUGCUUGACCUUAAAACAGAACUCAGUACUACUUGGUUUUUAAAAAGUGACCCUUGUUGCUUUAGUACCAAAAAGCUUCUUGUCAAAGCUUGAGUAGCUAGUACUUUGGGAUGAAGAUGCUCUAUCACGUGAAUGAUUGGAGUCAUCUCCAUGGAUGUCUCGCAUGGCUCUCCCGGUAGAUCAGAUGUCCCAUCCAUUGUUGCGGUAUUCAUGCUACCACUUUUAUCUGUGUAGCAUAUUAAGUUGAUCACUCUCUCUUAAAUAAUGUGUGAUAGUUCUUUUAUUGCUCCACUAAAGGUUCAUACUUUUAGGUAGUUGGAUCUCAAUCUUGGCCUUUAAUAUCAAGGUACAGAGCAGUUGUGCGAACACAAUCAUCAAAAGUUGAGAUAAUUGAAGCUUUGUUCAAACAUUCACCGGAUGGGAAAGAUUUUGGCAUCAUGAGGUAUGUCUGAUCAUAUCUAACGAAUUUCUAACUAAAUAUUGUAUUUUCAAAUUUCAUGAUGAUGAGCCUGAUGGUCUUUUCGUUUAAUCAUGAACAGUUGAUUCUAUAUAUUGUUGAGUGUUGAUAAAAAAUUCCUACUCUAUCCUCCUUUGUUUAAUCAAUUAACAAUAUUCCAUAGGGAACUUCUCGUCCAGCUCACAACGUAAGUCCUGGUUUCUUGGAACAGAACUUGGAAUCGUUUCAUCUUAGUGGGUAACUAAUGAACUGAUAUGCAGGUUUUAGUUCACUUUCUCUAAUAUUUUAUUCUUUUUAUAACCUGAAUGUGACGCCCCCAAAAUAGGUCCACACGACCCAUUCUGAGUCGCCAGAUAUCACACUAUAAAAAUCAAAUACAAACUUCAUUUAUACAACUGUUGAACUGUCGUGUAGAGUACGACCACAGAUAAGCUGUGAGUUUUAAUACAAUAUUGUCUCGUAGACAGUAUCCAACUCAAAUUGUUACAAUGCCAUAUAAAAUAUAGCAGCAAAUAUUUUAAGACCCCAAAGAAGAAUGAGAAGAUUACUAUCAUAUUCAUUCUAAUGAGGUGCACUUUUGACGCUUUUAAAGUUGGGUUCUCAUCACCCCAUUGUUGUUCACCAAAAUCAAUUAUUAAGUUACGUAUAAAAUACGACACCCGCAUCUUAGGUCCUCAAUACAAUUAUCUGUUGUAUGUCAUGCCAUUUUAUAAUGUAUUGAGAAACUUCGAUAGUCUCGGACCAUCCCACUAUUUCCCUAUUAUCCCCGCUCGACCCAGCUACACUCUUAUUACCUGAAAGGAAUUGUGAAGCAAAAGGGUGAGCACAAUUAGCCCAGUAAAGAAUAUCAUGGCUAAGAUAAUUAAUUUAUCAACAGCCUUUAUCAGAAUAAAUCAGAGAUUUAUAACAUAUGGUAGAUAAUAAAAGUUUUCAACCAUAAUUGCAGCGGAAUCAACAAUCCAUUAGAAGAGUCAAGUAGAACAUAAUGUCUACUAUUUGCUCUAAAUUAAAAGUCCAUCGUUGAUAUUUUAUUCCUGUAAUACUCAUUAACAGUUCUUUGUUAUACUUAAAACAAAUAGAACUUUCAACACUUGUCUUCACCUGAACCACCAAAGAUGUUAGUUAAAUUCACAAUUCAUAUUUAUAAUAAUGUGAAUUAGCAGUUCCUUCUUGCCACAAAGGCUUAAUAGAACGUUUACUCAAUAUCCUUACCCCAAAGGCUGAAGAUAUUCAAAUUUAAUAACAAUAAUCAUACCAAUCAGUUGUCUAUCUUUGUACUACGGGCCAAAGAUAUUCAACUAUAAAAACAAUGGUCAUGAUCAUACCAAUCAAUUGUCUGUCAGUGCACUACGCCCAAAGACAUUCAACUGUUAACUAAUGGUCAUGAUCCUGCCAAUCACAUCAUUGAAUUAUCCAUGCACUACGGCCAAGGAUAUUCGUUAGUAUCACUAGUGGUCAUGAUCAUGUCAUACACCUGUCCAUCUUCGCACUACGGGUCAAAGCUAUCAAACAACAGAUCAUCUUUGCACUACAUGCCAAAGAUAUUCAACAACAUAUCAUCUUUGCACUACAGACCAAAGACAUACAACUAUAAAACCAAUAACCAACAGUAUAAUAGAGAAUGGAAUAAUAAAAGAAUUUCACCAUGUAUGCAAUACUCCGCAUAAACAGGUUAUUCCAACAUAAUAAUAAAGAAUGGAAUAAUAAAAGAAUUUCACCAUGUAUGCAAUACUUCGCAUAAACAGGUUAUUCCAACAUAAUAAUAAAGAAUGGAAUAACAGAAGAAUUUCACCAUGCGUGCGAUAGACUGCACAGACAGGUUAUUCCCAACAGAAUAAUAAAUAAUGGAACCAGGUCAGGCGUAAACGCACAGACAGGAUAUUCCGAUAGAAUAAUAAAUGCGAAAUAAUAAAUAAUGGAACCAGGUCCAGUGUAAAACACACAAACAGGAUAUUCCGACAUAAUAAUAAAUGUGGAAUAAUAAAUAAUGUAACCAGGUCCGGCGUAAAAUGCACAGACAGGAUAUUCCGACAGAAUAAUAAAGAAUGGAAUAAUAAAAGAAUUUCACCAUGUAUGCGGUACUUCGCAUAAACAGGUUAUUCCAACAUAAUAAUGAAGAAUUGAAUAACAACUCUUACGAGUAUUGAAAGAAAGUAAUUCUCUUCAUUAAUACAAAAGAAUAAUACCCCUUACGAGUACAACAAAUAAUAUCCCUUACUAUAAUAAUAAUAUCCCUUACGAGUACAACAAAUAAUAUCCCUUACUAUAAUAAUAAUAUCCCUUACCGUAAAAAAAACUGGAUUUAAAAGUAGUGAAGUAGCAGAAUACUCUUCUUCUUUCUCUCUAUAAUUUCUCUCUCUAGAGUUUAAGUGAAUUCGUAAGAAAUAAUGAAGGAAUAAGCUUCUAUUUAUAGAAGAAGGGACUGCAUAGUAACUAAUUCAUGAACGGUCCAGAUUGAUUUACUUUUAAUCGGAUGGUCCAUAUUUAAAGCAAAAUCUUUUAAAUAAAAUAUAAUAUAUUCUAUUUAUAAUCUAAUAAAACGAAUAAUUUUAUAAAAGUAUUCUGUUUUAUAUAAAAAGUUUUUACUAUGUAAAACACUAUGCAGGCACUAUGCAACACUAUGCAUAAUAAAAUAUAAUAUAUUCUAUUUAUAGAAUAACUUUAUAAAAGUAUUCUAUUUUAUAUAAAAAAGAUUUUACUAUGUAAAACACUAUGCACAAUAGAAUAUAAUAUAUUCUAUUUAUAGAAUAACUUUAUAAAAGUAUUCUGUUUUAUAUAAAAACUUUUCUACUAUUAUAAUUUCAACCAACGGUCUGAAAAAUUAGUACAUCUCUUCAUGGAAUAAUAUUGUACCCAAAAAUAAUUUGGACUGAAAAGAAAUAUAUUUUUCGGGUGAAUAGUACCCUGUGAAUAGUAACUCGUGAAUAGUAACUCAUGAAUAGUAACUCAUGAAUAGUAACUCGUGAAUAGUACUCCGACACAAAAAGUGCCCCAAAUACCCGAGUGAAUAAUACUAGAGUGAAUCGUAACCGGUUAUUUUAUGACAACUUGUCUACUUAAAAAAAAAAUCACAUAACACCCUUAACUUUAAACUUUUAUCAAUUUAACCAUUUACUAAAAUAGAAAAAUUGAAUACUUUUAUUUCAUAAAAUUCGGGGUCUCACACUGAACAUAUUGUAGUAAUUCAUCUUUGGAGAUUCUUUUUUAUUUUUCCCAAACCUUUUGUUGGUUUCUAACUUUUUGAUUCUGCCUUGACUAAUUAGAUGGUGCUACUGGGAUACUUUAUAUGUGAAUUAUACAUGCUACAGUUGAUCUUGUAUGCCAUAUACUGCAAAAACGAACUGUUGAUAAUUCUCAUCCCUGGACUUGGACACUUGAAUGAAUCAAUGUUAAUGCUGCUGCUUGCUGGAAACUUGAAUCCUUGUGAUGCUGCUUGUUAGAUAAUGUUGUUGCUAGAAACUUGAAUGUUAAUGUUGUUGCUACUACUAAUGUGUAUUUUGUAAUUCAUAUGCCUAACUUUUUAAAAUUGUAUAUUGUGAAUUGUAAAUUUGGAAUCAAUAAUUAAUAUGAUAUAAGCUCGUUUUUACUCGAGUUCGAUUCAAAACAAGUAGUUUGAAUAUAAUUUCGAGUUGAGUCGAACUUUAAGUAUCAUUUUUUGCAUCGAGUCGAAUACGAGUACAUUGUUUAAAUUUUAUUUCGAAUUCGAAUCGAAUACGAGCAAGACAUUUUUGCAUCGAAUCAAAUCUAAGCAGCCUAGAAUCCAGAUCGAUUUGACUCGUUUACAACCUUACCAACAAGUCGUGUACUAAAUUAUGAUACUCAAGAGUCGAGACUCGUUUUAUUGUAAAAGGUCACAAGUUAUAAUUUAGUACAUAUUGAAAAUAAAUACUAUAGCUAUUUAUACAUAACCACCUUCUAAAUGUUGUUAUCCUUGCAUGAUAUUUAAUGAUAUUUAUUUUCAAGCUAUUUAUACACAACCACCUUUUAAGAUGAAUGCUAGCUAGUUCUUAAUUUUCUCAUUGAAAUACAUAUGGAGAUUGGGAAUCUCUCUUUCCUUGUAAUGGGGAUUGUUGUUUAUGUGUUACUAGUCUCUCCCUCCCUUUUUAUUUAUCCUUGUUGGAAACUUGUGACUCAUAAUAUAGAAACCACUGGAAAAGGCUAGUGCGGAGCGCAGCGGAACGGAGCUCGGGUCGAAGGUCCCGAGCGGAGCGGAGUGGAGCGAAGCGACGUACUAGUCCAUCAGGAUUGCAUCGAAGGUCGCGGGGGGUGCGGGGGUGCAAAGCCCCCCGCGGUACGAUACAUGAGUUUUUUUUAGGUUGUUUAUUGGAGGACAUUAUAGGUAAAUUGAGACAUAAUAUGAAGUAGGGUUCGAAUAAGAUUAGUAGCUAUAAAUACAAUCUAUUUUAAAGCCCUAUGUAACUAAGGAAUCAUCAAUAAACAACAAGCCGCCUGUGGACAGUGGUGGAACCAGAAGAUAAUUUAAGGGGGGCAAAAUACAUCAAUAAAAAAUUUAUUUAUUAACGCUUGGAGAGCUUCUUUCGGUUGUACGAGUGAGAGCAGGCAACUGUAUCCUGCGAGUCUGCAUAGUUUGAAAAUGUCUCAAAGUUUUCAAUUGUUGAAAAAAUAUCCUUCUCAAUAUAAACUACUAGACUGUCAUUCAUCCACUCGUCUCCCAUUUUGUUACGCAAGUCAGUCUUGACAAUUUUCAUUGCAGAGAAUACUCUUUCAACAGUAGCAGUUGCAACUGGUAAAACCAAAGCCAACUCGAUCAAUCGAUAUACCAAUGUAAAAGUCAUAUGUCUUCUUGUUUCAAUCAGCUUCUUAGCAAGACUUCCCAAACCCAAAUUUUUGAUCCCAAAAAAUUGACUAUCGCAUCGCAUAUCAUAAAUGUAAUUUUCAAGUUGAUCCCCAAGUAUCAUGCAAUCAGUCAAUGAGAAGUCUUCUGGAUAAAGCUCAGCAAGACGGAGUAAUUUAUUUUUGUCAAAUUGAGAGAACAAAUCCCUUGGAUCAAGGCAUGAUAUGCAUAAAAGUAACUCUGUGCUUGUUUCUGAAAAACGAUUGUUCAUCUCUUGAACAAUUGAAUCAACAACCUACAUUGUAAUAAUGCUACUUUAAAAAAAAGAUAAAUUUUUAGAUAGGAAUAAUGAAAAAAGAGUUAUGAGAUUAUACCUGACAAAAAAUCUCAACACGAUAAUGCUGAAAAUUAGUAAUAAUUUGUCCAUUGCGCCUGCUACGACCGCGGAGUCUCAUGUUGUCUUCCAUAUUAAUUAUUGGGAUCACGUUCUUCUCACAAAAUAUAUUGAUCUCCUUCAAAAAGUUCUCCCAUUCUGCCUCCCUAAAAUCUUGUAGUCGAGCUUUCAUUACCCUAAUCAAUCUCACAGCAUGCACAAUGUUUUGAUCUUUUUGUUGCAAGGCAAGUGACAAAUCAUUUGUGAUUCCCAAUAUAUAUUUCAUCAAAUGCAUCACAAAUACAAAUUCAUAAUUCUCCAUCUUAUCAAUCAAACUUAUGGCAAUACCGCUAUUAUCAUCAGAAGCACCAUCAUCAUGCACAUUUUCAAGCACUUGUAAUAUGGAAGUCCACAUAGACAUAAGACGGAUUAUUGUUAUGUAAUGUGACCCCCAACGAGUAUCUCCUGGCCGUUUUAAACUAAUUUCUUAAUUUUUUCCUUUACCACUAACUAUCUCUCCCUUUUCUAAACACUUCACGAUCCUAUCAUGUUCAAGCUGUCUAAGUUUAUCUUUCCUUUUACAUAAUGCUCCAGCCACAUUCAUAAUCAUAGUAACAUAUUGAAAAAAAUCACUCACAAUACGGCUGCUCUUGGCAACAGCAACAACAACUAAUUGGAGUCAGUGAGAAAAACAAUGGACAUACCUUGCAUUUGGAUUUUCUUUUAAAAUAAGAGCCUUCAAUCCAUUGAACUCGCCUCGCAUAUUUGAAGCCCCAUCAUAUCCUUGACCUCUCAACCUCGAUAAUGACAAUUUAUGCUUUGCAAAUAAUUCAUCAAUAGCAUUCUUCAAAGAAAUAGAUGACGUGUCAGGCACAUGUACCACACCAAGAAACUUUUCAAUCACAUCUCCAUGGUUGUUUAUAUAUUUCAAAACAACUCUCAUUUGCUCCUUUAUUGAAACAUCUCGAGACUCAUCAACCAUAAUAGAAAAUAUUUUAUCCCCAAUAUCAUUGAUAAUGGCAAGUGUAGUUUCUACGGAACAAGCACUUAUUAGUUCUUUUUGAAUUUUUGGAGAAGUCAUUUGAUUGUUUCUAAGAGCAUUCUCAUUAACUACCUUUCCUACCUAUUCAUUUCGUAGGUUGUACCACUCAAAAAACUCAAGAAAAUUUCCCUUAUUUGAUGAAGUCAAUGACUCAUCAUGUCCACGAAAAGACAAACCUUGCUUCAAAAGAAGGUGUGUGACAUCCAAAGCCGCCGUUAAACGUGUGCGAUAAGCAACCUCCAUCUCUUGCCCUUGUGCUAGUAGUAUAUGUGACACACUCUGCCUUUGAUUUUUAAAACCUUGGAGUUGUAUUCUAGCAUCAUUAUGAGCACUAUUCGAAGCACCCACAUGUUCUUGAAAUCUUUCAAUUGCCUUUUUCCAGUUGCUGAAACCUUUUUUUGUAAAAGCAUCUACUCUGUUUGAAUUGCCAAAUAGAUAGCAGCAAAAGCAAAAGGCUGCAUCCUUGGAAAUGCUAUCCUCCAACCAUUCAAAAUUUUUAAACCAAGCGAGCCGAAAGCUUCUCUUCACAUUAGAAUAGUUUUUUUGGGGAUAAUUAUGGGCAAUUGGUUGACAUGGACUUCUAGUCAAAUACUCUCUUCGAACUUGAUCUCUAAUGACAAUAGCAAAGUCUUCAAUUGAUUUACGUAACCCCGGAUCACUAACAAUAUCAUUCGGAUUGAACUCCACGCGUGAAUUAUUAAAAUCACCAUUUGCUUCGGAACUUGGUAUUUGAUUAUUAGAAGAAUCAACAGUUCUUUGUCGCUUAAUCAAGUAUUUAUCCAUAAUCUAGUAUAAAUAAAAACAUCAAUUGCUAUUUGCUAAUCAAUAAUUUUAUUAAUUUAAACAUUUCAUAAUAAUUUAAUCAUUCAUCAAUUAUUUAAGAAAACAGAAAUUAAACAAAUUCUAGCUAAUCUAGAUAAUUAAAAAUAAAAUCAAUUAUUCCUAAAUUAACAGAAAAUCAAUUAUUCCUAAAUUAACAGAAAAUCAAUUAAAUUAACAGAAAAUCAAUUAAAACCAAUUAUUCCUAAACUAACAUAAAAUCAAUUAAAUUAACAGAAAAUCAAUUAAAAUCAAUUAUUCCUAAAUUAACAUAAAAUUAAUUUUUAUUCUUUUACUUACCAAAGUCCAAAGCAGAGUAGCAGUGGUCUGUGGUUAAGUGGAGGCAGGAGGCAUGAUCAGUAGACAUCGGCGGGCGGGCAGGCGUGCGGCGGCAGGCGCAAUGGAUCUGUCAUCUGUGGACUGUGGACCUGUGGCUGUGGAGGUGAGGUGCGAAGACUGAAGAGGGAAAUAACUGGGGUCUGGGAUGUGGAGGCGACUGU
This 23897-nucleotide long non-coding RNA is filed under the name Panax ginseng (ginseng). RNAcentral describes it as "long non-coding RNA (PGIN_LNC008898)". Lineage: Eukaryota; Viridiplantae; Streptophyta; Magnoliopsida; Apiales; Araliaceae. The record is from RNAcentral.